Non-coding RNA from Podarcis muralis (Common wall lizard), 681 nucleotides. The record is from RefSeq and is a predicted model, not a curated record. Lineage: Eukaryota; Metazoa; Chordata; Lepidosauria; Squamata; Lacertidae.
UAGCCCGCCUCUCAUCCUCCUCGCAGAAAUGGGCUCAGCCAAUGCGCCCUCAUUCAGAGAGGAGCGUAGACUGACACGUCGGGCGGCCAAUAGGUGCACGGAGAAAGGACUGCAAGCUUUUUGGAGUAGGGACUUGUGAAACCUGUUCUUUGUGAAGCUCUGUAUACAUACAUGCCACUGUCACCCUCAUCAAGCUUAAAAAAAGACUGCAGAAGCAAUAGGAAAGGUUGCUCUAGCCCCAUCCAUCAGCCAAAGGAGAAAAGAGCUGCCAGCCACUAUGCAAGCAAGGACACCAGCGGAGCAAGGGAAGAGCAGCCUGGCAACAACUGGAUAUAAAUGCCCACUUAUAGCUCACCACUUUAUUCUGACCUUGAAAUAUGAACUCCCUCCUCUACCUCCCCCCCCCUUCCACUUCUCUUCCCUUGACUUAGUUUGUAAACGUGAUGACAGGGACUGCCUCUCAUUUUUUUAAAGCUGCUUCGGAAGGUAACAUUUUGCCUGAAAUGUGGGAUAAAAUCUAAAUAGACAAGCAAUAGAAUGAAAUUAAUGCUGUGGGGAAAUUAUACUAACAAAAUGGAUCCCACCUAAGCCUUAAGCAUUUCUGGGGCAACUGCAGUUGGUGGCAGGAAGGUCUCUAUAGCUAUUACUGCAUCCACUGGGUUAUUGUAGGGUGUGGUUGCU